Long non-coding RNA from Mytilus trossulus (common blue mussel), 1974 nucleotides. RefSeq lists it as uncharacterized. NCBI's taxonomy places the organism in Eukaryota, Metazoa, Mollusca, Bivalvia, Mytilida, Mytilidae. The record is from RefSeq and is a predicted model, not a curated record. The transcript is spliced from 4 exons.
AAUUGACAGAGAAUCACAGCCAACAAAAGGUAACAAGUUCAAAAUUUGACAUCAAAUGCCGGAAAAUUGUCUGUGUAUUUCAGUUCCGAUCAACUGUCAUUAAUGCAUGUUCGUUUCAUUAUGCAUAUAUUUCACAGAUAAAUUCAAUAUUCUAAUAUCAAUUAUUAAUACGUGUUUAUUUGCUUUGAUACUCUGCAAUUUGCACGAUUUGCUUUGCUACACACUGUUCAUAUACAAUAUGUUUACAAAAAUGCAUUAUCUGAAGUUUAUAACUUCUGAAAAUCUAGGCAAACUUCCAAAAAGGCCCACCUCAAAAGUCAUGUUAAUGUAUAAUCUAUUUUAUUUUUCAACUAGAAAUUUAGAUUUUUUAAAAGCAUGGGUGUAAAACGCAUACUCUUAAAGUACAUUCAUUUUUUUAUCUAUCAAUAUAUAAAAAUACCACCUUAAUAAUAAUUAUCAAUAACCACAAUCAUACAUAUCUAUACCUUAAAUUAGGGUAAAGGUCGUUAAAAACUUCCAUUUGUUGGUAGAGCGAAGCAGUUCACAGCUUUUUAGAAAGCCAAAACUUGUUUUUUUUUUAAAUUUUUGUCAGAUAUUCGUAAUUCUAUCCGGUUUUAUCUAUGUAAAUAUAACAUUUUGCCCGCAAACCCAUACUUUUUCCUAAUUUUGUUACAUGUUUUAAGAAGCCAUAUUACGGAAACUCUCAUAAAAUCUUUGCUAUUUUUUCAUAGUUUUUGAAAGCAAACAUGCAGGUACUAAUGACAGUUUGACGAAAAACCCUCGAAAAACCUAGAGAGAAUCAUUACUUGCCAAAGUUUAAAUAGCUUAUAUCUUAAAAACAACACUGCAAAUAUUGCGGACUCCUGACGCGUCUAGACGCGUUCCAUUUUUAAACACAAUAUGUUCAGUUAUUAACAUUCGUGUUCCACACAUCCAGCGUUAAAGAAUAUAACACAUUGUGUUCAGUCUUUGAACGCACAUGUUCAAGACAAGUGUUCUAAAUUGAACACUAGAAAUGUUCUAAUAUUGUAAUGGGGAGUGAAAAAAUAUUUCAUCGCUUCAGAGUCAAACAGACGAUGAAUAAGGGACACACUGAAGUAUAAAUGGAAGUAGAACAUUUUGUGUCAACACAUAACGGUGCUGUUAUGCCAUAAUUCGAUUUAAAAAGUAGGAGGGUACAAACACAACUACAGUACUGAGGGGUAAUUGUUCGUGCAUACCUCGCCGAGAAUGAAGAGAAAAUUUCGCAGUUCAAGAGAUGACUACUUAUCCUGCACCAUAAAAGUACUUUCAUAUAACUCACAGUUGAUGGAUAACAAGGUUAAAGAGUAGUUAUAACCCAAGGAGACGAAUGUUCUAAAAAAUGGAAGCUCAAAAGACGAAUGUUCUAAAAAAUGGCAGCUCAAAAUCAGUUGUAGACGACUCAAAUCAUAAUCAAAAGUACCUAAGGUAGCAGUGUUACAUGAACACCGACUCGACUAGUAGCAGCAUAUACACAGGGUAUUUUAUGUUUGAUAUUGACUAUCUAAGUGCUAUGAAAGCUGUGGAUCAUCGAAAAUAUUGGUGAUAAACGAGUCAUUGACAUAAGUAUUUUGUAAUUCAGGACAGUGCUUGACUUGAGAAGUUGCAAACGAUGAUUUAAACUGUGUUCAUAAGUCACUAAACUUUGUUGUUACAUACUAAUUUUAAAUAUGACGAACAAUUUGUUUAUGGUUAAAUAUUUGGAUACAUUAAUUUUUGCAAAUUACAAAUGUUAUAUUUUUAAUUUGUCUAACUUGUCAUUUUAAAGUUGCUUCAAUAUUUCACAUUGUAUUGUACUUUUUUUUUUUAAUUUUGCCUCUUUUAAUCAAUUAAAGAUGUUUUUAAUCAAUUUAAUUAUUUGUUUUACAAGACCACAAUAAUGUUUCAGAGAAUAGAACACUUUUUUCUGGAACAUGUAAAAUUGUGUUCCACUAAUACAUGCAUAUGUAUACA